AGAGUUUGAUCAUGGCUCAGAUUGAACGCUGGCGGCAUGCCUUACACAUGCAAGUCGAACGGCAGCACGGGGGCAACCCUGGUGGCGAGUGGCGAACGGGUGAGUAAUACAUCGGAACGUGUCCUGUAGUGGGGGAUAGCCCGGCGAAAGCCGGAUUAAUACCGCAUACGAUCUACGGAAGAAAGCGGGGGAUCUUCGGACCUCGCGCUAUAGGGGCGGCCGAUGGCAGAUUAGCUAGUUGGUGGGGUAAAGGCCUACCAAGGCGACGAUCUGUAGCUGGUCUGAGAGGACGACCAGCCACACUGGGACUGAGACACGGCCCAGACUCCUACGGGAGGCAGCAGUGGGGAAUUUUGGACAAUGGGGGAAACCCUGAUCCAGCAAUGCCGCGUGUGUGAAGAAGGCCUUCGGGUUGUAAAGCACUUUUGUCCGGAAAGAAAACUUCGGGGCUAAUACCUCUGGAGGAUGACGGUACCGGAAGAAUAAGCACCGGCUAACUACGUGCCAGCAGCCGCGGUA
Molecule: ribosomal RNA, 519 nt
Filed under: uncultured Pseudomonadota bacterium
Lineage: Bacteria; Pseudomonadati; Pseudomonadota
Description: bacterial SSU rRNA
Rfam family: Bacterial small subunit ribosomal RNA
Source: RNAcentral